GAUGAACGCUGGCGGCGUGCCUAAUACAUGCAAGUCGAGCGAACAGACGAAGAGAUUGCUCCUCGCAAGUUAGCGGCGGACGGGUGAGCAACACGAGGAUAACCCACCUAUAAGACUAGGAUAACUCCCGCAAACCGGAGCUAAUACCGGAUCAUAUAUCCAACCGCAGGAGCCAGGAGCGAAAGCCGGUUUUGAUGUCACGUAUCGAUGGAUCCGCGCCGCAUUGGCUAGUCGGUAAGGUAACGGCUUACCAAGGCAACGAUGAGUAGCCGACCUGAGAGGGUGACCGGCCACCCUGCAACUGGGCCACCGUCCAGACUCCUACGGGACGCUGCAGCAGGGAACCUUGCGCAAUGCGCGCAGACUCGCCACAACCCCGCCCCGUGAGGCAUGAGGUUCCCCCGCUCGCAACAGUCUCUUAUUAGGGACGACCCUAUCUGUAAGUGACUAUGCCCGUCUUCACCGUCCCUUGUCAGAAAGCCACCGCUACCUUCUUG
RNAcentral lists this ribosomal RNA (497 nucleotides) under uncultured bacterium. RNAcentral's name for it is "partial 16S ribosomal RNA". It matches the Rfam family "Bacterial small subunit ribosomal RNA", at positions 28 to 507 of the family's 1533-position model. The record is from RNAcentral.